CGCUUUCACAAGAGCAGUCUGAUUAUGGGAUAUGGGUUUUUGCAUGACAGGGUUAAAUAAUAAUGGGCGGUUGAUGUUACUUAAGGCAUUUCUUCUUAUGUGCUUUUGCCUAAAGGUUGUCCACCCAACUGAGUGCAAAACUGAAAGGAUACGGUGGGUACUGUUGCGGCCACUUAAGGUUUUCCCAGGUUCAGAUGAUUGAGAACAUAACUGGAUCAGAAACACUAAAUUGUCUCAACUAGAAGAACCCUACAACGAGUAGACAAAUCCCUGUGAACUGGCAAUGAGAAAGUAUGAGGGCAGGCUGCUGCGGGCUGUGACUGAGCAGUUGCUGUCUGCCAACAAUCUAAAAGAGGAAGGGAAAAAAAUGGAGCUACAGCAAUAAUUUUGUCUGGUCAAAGUGUUCACACCUCCAGCAGCCUCACUGAAAGGAAUCUCUGCAGAUUGUGCAGAGUAAAAUAUAAAUAUUUCUGGUUUCAGGAAAAGUCUGAGAAAAGCUUAAGGAGAGUCGACAGACUGAACUGUGCAGAAAUGACAUCUGUGAUCGGACUGUUGCUGAUGCUGAUCACAGUCACUGAUGGUGUGGUGACCCACUGUGAUGGCAGAAAGAAUGGAGCUCAGUGUUAUGGAGCUUUGGGAGGAACUGUUUCUCUCCAGCUGAUGGACAACUUCUCACAAAUACCCAGAUACGAAUUGUUCAUGGUACUAUCAGGAGGAAAAGAUAAACCACUUUAUAUUCAAGACAGAUCUUCAUUUUUCCCCUCUAAUGGAACAUUCUGGAUCCAUAACCUGAGCAGGAAUGACAGUUGUCAAUAUAGACUUACAACAUUUGAUUCAUAUGGAAGAAUAACAGAAGACCGCAUCCUACAGUUAUCAGUUCAAGGUUUGGUGACCCACUGUGAUGGCAGACAGAAUGGAACUCAGUGUUAUGGGAGGAACUGUUUCUCUCCAGCUGAUGGACAACUUCUCACAAAUACCCAGAUACCUGUUGAGAACUAAAAUAGACAAUGUACUAUCAGGAGGAAAAUAUAGAUCACUUGUGAUUAAAAUGAGAAACAGAUCUUCAUUUAUUCCCUCUAAUGGAACAUUUUGGAUCCAUAACCUGAGCAGGAAUGACAGUGGUGAAUAUAGACUUCAAACAUUUGAUUAAAAUGGAAAAAUGGCAGAAAACCACACCCUACAGUUAUUAGUUCAAGCUCCUGUGUCCUCCGUCUCGCUGGUCUCUGAGUGUUUGUCUCAGGGAGAGAUGAAGGUGUCCUGCUCCUCUGAGGGAGGGGACAGUCCUCAGUACAAGUGGACUCUGAAUGGAAAGUCACUGACAGAAGCUGAGCUGCUUUCUGGAAACAAGCAGACAAACAUCAUCACUUUGAAACAACACGUCUCAGGACGUCUGGUCUGCUCCUCCUGGAACCACGUCAGCUCUGCUUCUAAAGAGAUAAACAUCAAUAACUGUGGUUUCAUUUACAUAAACUGCACCUUUAAUGGGACGAAGAUAUCAAAGUGGGUGUUUCAGGAAAACAACACUCUGUGUGUUGAACCACCGACAACAGUCUCACCAACAGAGACACAGAUCACUGUGGUUCACACAGGUCCGUCCGUGCUGAGAUGCAGUCUGAUGUUUCUGUUUUCUGUUGUUUCCUUUGUGGGAAUCUGCGUCUAUUUCAAGUGGAAGAAGAUCAAAUCUGAGAAAGCUGAACAGUUUGCUGCAAGACACAGAAGAAUGUUUUCAGAUCAUUUCUAUGAAAAUGAACAAGCACUGUACAUCAACAUUCAACCAAACCAUGCAAAAGUAAAUUUUUAAUUUUGAUUUUAUUAUUAUACUCAGAGUUCUGUCUAUAAAACAACAGAUUCAGCAAAUCAAUGUUAUCUUUUGGUUUGAUACAUUUUUUUAUCAGGAAUCAGGAAUCAGGAAAACUUUAUUGUCAUUUUAUCAUGAUAAAACGAAAUUAGGCUCUCUGGUCCCGGGCCAGCCGUUUACAUUCAGACAUAAAUAAUAUAUAUCAAUAAUAAUGUCAGUGAGAUAUCAGUCUGUUAUGGUGUGGUUCCUGAUGAGUAUUGCACAGAAGUAUUUUUCAAAUUGCACAGUAUAUUAUGUUAAGUAUUGCACAGCCCUGUGAUAUUGCACUUGGGAAUUAGCUUGUUGUCCAUAGAGAGGGGGGGGGGGGUGCAGUGAUCAACCGGAGUUCAGCAGUCUGACUGCUUCAGGAAAGAAACUGUUCCUCAGUCUGGUGGUCCUGCUCUUUAUGCUCCUCAGUCUCCUGCCUGAGGGGAGCAGGGAGAACAGAGGGUGUGAGGGAUGAGUGGGGUCUUUCAGGAUGCGAGAGGCCAAUUUCCUGCAUCUGGUCGUAUAGAUGUCAGUGGUGGACGGCAGGCUGCAGCCCACAGUCCUCUGUGCAGCUUUGGUCACUCGUUGCAGAGCUUUCCUCUCUGCCGCAGAGCAGCUGCCGUGCCACACCGUGAUGCAGGAUGUCAUGACGCUCUCCACCACACACCUGUAGAAGGAGGUCAGGACUGGGAUCCCCAUCCCAGCUCGCUUGAGCCUCCUCAGGAAAUAAAGGCGCUGGUGUGCCUUCUUGACCAGGCAGGAGGUGUUGGUGCUCCAGGUGAGGUCGCUGGAGAUGUGCACGCCCAGAUACCUGAAGCUGGAAACCACUUCCACCGCGUCCCCUCCGAUGUGAAUGGGGGGAGGGGGGCAUCUGUCCAUCCUAAAAUCCACGAUCAUCUCCUUGGUCUUCUUCCCAUUGAUGCAGAGGUUGUUGUCUCUGCACCAGCUCUCCAGAUGUUCCACCUCCUGCCUGUAGUCGGACUCAUCGUUGUUGGUGAUGCGUCCAACCACAGCUGUGUCAUCCGCAAACUUCACGAUCAGACAGCUGGGGUUAUUCGCUGUGCAGUCGUGCGUCAGCAGGGUGAACAGGAGGAGGCUCAGCACACAGCCCUGGGGGGAGCCCGUGCUGAGGGUGAUCGGGGAGGAGGAGACGUUGCGGAUUUUUACAGACUGCGGUCUGUCUGUCAGGAAGUCCAAGACCCAGUUGCACAGAGUGGGGUUCAGUCCAAGUGUGUGUAGUUUUUGGGUGAGGGUCUGCGGGAUGAUGGUGUUAAAAGCUGAUGUGAAGUCCACGAAGAGCAGUCGAACGUACGCGUUCUUGUUCUCUAGGUGGGUGAGGGUUGUGUGGACCACAGAGGAGAUGGCGUCCUCUGUGGAUCGGUUUGACCUGUAUGCGUAUUGGUGCAGGUCCUUGGUGAUGUUGAUGGAUUCUGUGAUGCGGGUCAUGACCAGUUUUUCGAAACAUUUCAUGACUAUCGGUGUCAGGGCAACCGGCCGAUAGUCAUUCAGACCUGUCACUGUGGAUGAUUUGGGUAUUGGAAUGAUGGUGGCGGUUUUCAGGCAGGUGGGGACCACUGCCUGCAUCAGGGAGGUGUUGAAGAUGUCUGUCAUAUGAAAUCCUUAUCAACUGACUAAAUGAAGCACCAAUUAUAAGAGACUUGUUAGUUGUGAUGUCACUUCCUCUUUUAAGACUCUAGAUUAUUAAGCAUAUUUAACCUCUUGUUUGUGCAAUAGUUUUGUCUCGUCAAAUGGACGUUUGUAUCAGCACUUCAUGUUUAGAAUGAAUGUAAUUAAAUGUAUCAAAAUAAAUGUAAAGUUAUGUUUGUAAGUUUUCUCGUUUAGAGGUGAUCAAUUUAAUGAGAAGAAAACGGGCAUUGUAAAUUUAUUGUAAUCCCUUAAAGGGAACCAAAGAAUUCUGGUUUUAUCUAAGAGAACCUGUUGCUGAUUUUCUUCUGUGACAUUUACACAUCAGUGUUGUGACUAUCACUUUGUGUAAGGAAUGUAGAUUAUUUUUUUCUGUCAGAAGGUUUUGUAAUAGUGCUAAAAUCACAUUUUUUGUGAGUUGUUGAUGACUGGGUCAGAGUGAUAUAAACAAUACUUCACACUGAGCUCAGUGCAGUGCUUAAGUAUUUGGCAUGUUUGAUUUUCUUUUAUUGUAAUUUUUUUGGAUGAUUCAACACAAAUCCCGCAACUUAAAAAUUGUAGCUUUAUUGCAUUUUCAUAGUCCUAAUUCACAUAAAGACAUUGAGUUAUCUUUAAUCAAGCAUGUAGGGUGAUGUGUUUGACAAAAUAAAAAUGUAAAGACCUUUGACCAUUACCUUUAGUAGGACAAACAUUGGACACUAAAGGGCGCUCAUAACCCAGAAAUUGAUCCGUAGCUGUCGAGUUCUCUUGACUUUAUUUCACUGUGGUACAUUUUAAUUCUCGUUAGUUGUUUGGAUAGAUUAAAAGAACGGUCCCAGCAGUCAACUUUAUAGCAGAGCCAACCCUGAGAAAAACAAACUUAAGCAGUAGAUUGGAUAACAAAAACCUCAAUAUCUUCAGCUCUGCUUCCUGUCUCUUUCUCAUAAACCAGCAACGUUGCUGCUGUC
Molecule: non-coding RNA, 4416 nt
Organism: Oryzias latipes (Japanese medaka)
Lineage: Eukaryota; Metazoa; Chordata; Actinopteri; Beloniformes; Adrianichthyidae
Source: RefSeq, a predicted model, not a curated record